Molecule: ribosomal RNA, 429 nt
Filed under: Chloroflexota bacterium
Lineage: Bacteria; Bacillati; Chloroflexota
Description: Chloroflexi bacterium partial 16S ribosomal RNA
Rfam family: Bacterial small subunit ribosomal RNA
Source: RNAcentral
UGGGGAAUAUUGCACAAUGGGCGCAAGCCUGUUGCAGCCAUGCCGCGUGUAUGAAGAAGGCCUUCGGGUUGUAAAGUACUUUCAGUCGGGAGGAAGGUGGUAAGGUUAAUAACCUUAUCAAUUGACGUUACCCGCAGAAGAAGCACCGGCUAACUCCGUGCCAGCAGCCGCGGUAAUACGGAGGGUGCAAGCGUUAAUCGGAAUUACUGGGCGUAAAGCGCACGCAGGCGGUCUGUCAAGUCGGAUGUGAAAUCCCCGGGCUUAACCUGGGAACUGCAUUCGAAACUGGCAGGCUAGAGUCUUGUAGAGGGGGGUAGAAUUCCAGGUGUAGCGGUGAAAUGCGUAGAGAUCUGGAGGAAUACCGGUGGCGAAGGCGGCCCCCUGGACAAAGACUGACGCUCAGGUGCGAAAGCGUGGGGAGCAAACAGG